This 498-nucleotide ribosomal RNA is filed under the name uncultured Glomus. Its description in RNAcentral is "SSU rRNA". It matches the Rfam family "Eukaryotic small subunit ribosomal RNA", at positions 569 to 1072 of the family's 1831-position model. Lineage: Eukaryota; Fungi; Glomeromycota; Glomeromycetes; Glomerales; Glomeraceae. The record is from RNAcentral.
AGCAGCCGCGGUAAUUCCAGCUCCAAUAGCGUAUAUUAAAGUUGUUGCAGUUAAAAAGCUCGUAGUUGAAUUUCGGGAUCAAUAUGUUGGUCGUGCCUUGGUACGUACUGGCAUUAUCGAUUCCUACCUUCUGAAGAACCUUGAUGUCAUUAAUUUGGUGUCUUGGGGAAUCAGGACUGUUACUUUGAAAAAUUAGAGUGUUUAAAGCAGGCUCGCGCUUGAAUACAUUAGCAUGGAAUAAUGAAAUAGGACGUUUGAUUCUAUUUUGUUGGUUUCUAGGAUCGACGUAAUGAUUAAUAGGGAUAGUUGGGGGCAUUAGUAUUCAAUUGUCAGAGGUGAAAUUCUUGGAUUUAUUGAAGACUAACUACUGCGAAAGCAUUUGCCAAGGAUGUUUUCAUUAAUCAAGAACGAAAGUUAGGGGAUCGAAGACGAUCAGAUACCGUCGUAGUCUUAACCAUAAACUAAUGCCGACUAGGGAUCGGAUGAUGUUAAUUUUAA